Non-coding RNA from Paramuricea clavata, 459 nucleotides. NCBI's taxonomy places the organism in Eukaryota, Metazoa, Cnidaria, Anthozoa, Malacalcyonacea, Plexauridae. The record is from the annotation of a GenBank genome assembly.
AUUGCUACCAAGACAACUAGUUGAACCCGUGCAAUGGCGGACAAUAAUGAGCGAUAUUUGUGAAUCGAAUUGCGAACAAAUAUUUUACGAAGUUGGACCUGGGCGACAGCUCAGGGCAAUUGUAGCUAAAAUUGAUAGAAAGCUUGUAAGAAAAUGCAAGAACAUUGAAGUAUAACAGACAAUAAAAUCUUUCUGAAAACAUUUUACUUCCCAGAACCCAGGAAACAUUUGAAGAUACUUCCAGAUAUUUCCCAAUGCUAUAUUUCCCCAACAAUGUUUUCAAGGGUGGGCAAACAUUUGGGAGACAUUAAUUAGUUUAUCAGUCUUAAAAGACUAUUACUGUAUUAGCACAGCGGGGAAAAUCAAACAAGAUAUUUCAAGUCCAUAAAUGAGAUAUAUAGUGUAUAUAGAUCGGAUUACAAUAUUGCAUAAAUGCUAAUACAAUCAAAACAAGAGGUC